Molecule: non-coding RNA, 111 nt
Organism: Caenorhabditis elegans
Lineage: Eukaryota; Metazoa; Nematoda; Chromadorea; Rhabditida; Rhabditidae
Source: Ensembl
AGCAGCAUUUUUAGUUGUUGGUCACUGAAAAUUUUGAAUUUAAAGUAUUGUGUGGGCCUUCAAAGAUUGCCCUUUAGAGCUCUAACAAAUAUUUUCAAAAAUAAAAAUUUG